This 253-nucleotide ribosomal RNA is filed under the name uncultured bacterium. RNAcentral describes it as "partial 16S ribosomal RNA". It matches the Rfam family "Bacterial small subunit ribosomal RNA", at positions 524 to 776 of the family's 1533-position model. The record is from RNAcentral.
UACGUAGGGUGCAAGCGUUGUCCGGAAUUAUUGGGCGUAAAGGGCUCGUAGGCGGUCUGUUGCGUCGGGAGUGAAAACUUACAGCUUAACUGUGAGCGUGCUUUCGAUACGGGCAGACUUGAGGCAUUCAGGGGAGAACGGAAUUCCUGGUGUAGCGGUGAAAUGCGCAGAUAUCAGGAGGAACACCGGUGGCGAAGGCGGUUCUCUGGGAAUGUACUGACGCUGAGACGCGAAAGCGUGGGGAGCGAACAGG